RNAcentral lists this ribosomal RNA (939 nucleotides) under Hyphoderma nudicephalum. RNAcentral's name for it is "LSU rRNA". It matches the Rfam family "Eukaryotic large subunit ribosomal RNA", at positions 36 to 964 of the family's 3401-position model. The record is from RNAcentral. Lineage: Eukaryota; Fungi; Basidiomycota; Agaricomycetes; Polyporales; Hyphodermataceae.
UAGCAUAUCAAUAAGCGGAGGAAAAGAAACUAACAAGGAUUCCCCUAGUAACUGCGAGUGAAGCGGGAAAAGCUCAAAUUUAAAAUCUGAUAGUCUUUGGCUGUCCGAGUUGUAAUCUAGAGAAGCGUUUUCCGCGCUGGACCGUGUACAAGUCUUUUGGAAUAAAGCAUCAUAGAGGGUGAGAAUCCCGUCUUUGACACGGACUACCAGUGCUUUGUGAUGCGCUCUCAAAGAGUCGAGUUGUUUGGGAAUGCAGCUCAAAAUGGGUGGUAAAUUCCAUCUAAAGCUAAAUAUUGGCGAGAGACCGAUAGCGAACAAGUACCGUGAGGGAAAGAUGAAAAGCACUUUGGAAAGAGAGUUAAACAGUACGUGAAAUUGCUGAAAGGGAAACGCUUGAAGUCAGUCGCGUUGUUCAGAACUCAGCCUGGCUCCCGCUUGGUGUAUUUUCUGUAUAACGGGCCAGCAUCAAUUUUGAUCAUUGGAAAAAGGCUGGAGGAAUGUGGCACCUUCGGGUGUGUUAUAGCCUCUGGUUGCAUACAAUGGUUGGGAUUGAGGAUAUCAGCAUGCCUUUUGGCCGGGGUUCGCCCACGUUCAUGCUUAGGAUGCUGGCGUAAUGGCUUUAAACGACCCGUCUUGAAACACGGACCAAGGAGUCUAACAUGCCCGCGAGUGUUUGGGUGGAAAACCCGAGCGCGUAAUGAAAGUGAAAGUUGGGAUCCCUGUCGUGGGGAGCACCGACGCCCGGACUUGAACUUCUGUGACGGAUCCGCGGUAGAGCGUGUAUGUUGGGACCCGAAAGAUGGUGAACUAUGCCUGAAUAGGGUGAAGCCAGAGGAAACUCUGGUGGAGGCUCGUAGCGAUUCUGACGUGCAAAUCGAUCGUCAAAUUUGGGUAUAGGGGCGAAAGACUAAUCGAACCAUCUAGUAGCUGGUUCUGCGA